AGUGGAUGGGGAGCAACCUAGUUGUGCGUGUGUAAAGGUAGUGCCAAGAAAAGCGAUGAUCAUGUUGAAAAUCAAUUCCCGGUACCCGAAACCGACACAGGUGGGCAAGUAGAGAAUACUAAGGGGCGCGAGGUAACUCUCUCCAAGGAACUCGGCAAAAUGACCCCGUAACUUAGGGAGAAGGGGUGCCACCGAGAGGUGGUCGCAGUGAAGAGGCCCAGGCGACUGUUUAGCAAAAACAUAGGUCUCUGCAAACUCGAAAGAGGAGGUAUAGGGGCUGACGCCUGCCCAGUGCCGGAAGGUUAAAGAAGUUGGUCAGUUUUAGGAUGAAGCUAGCGACUGAAGCCCCGGUGAACGGCGGCCGUAACUAUAACGGUCCUAAGGUAGCGAAAUUCCUUGUCGGGUAAGUUCCGACCCGCACGAAGGGCGUAACGAUCUGGGCGCUGUCUCGGAGAGAGGCUCGGCGAAAUAGGAUUGUCUGUGAAGAUACGGACUACCUGCAUUUGGACAGAAAGACCCUAUGAAGCUUUACUAUAGCUUGGAAUUGUGUUCGGGCUUCCUGUGCGCAGGAUAGGUGGGAGGCGUAGAAGGUAUUCUUGUGGGGAUACUGGAGCCAACGGUGAGAUACCACUCUCAGGAGGCUAGAAUUCUAACUUAAUUAAGGACAGUUUCAGGUGGGUAGUUUGACUGGGGCGGUCGCCUCCAAAAAGGUAACGGAGGCGUACAAAGGUUCCCUCAGACUGGUUGGAAAUCAGUCGAAGAGUGCAAAGGCAGAAGGGAGCUUGACUGCGAGAAGUACAGUUCGAGCAGGGUGGAAACACGGUCUUAGUGAUCCGACGGUGCUGUGUGGAAGGGCCGUCGCUCAACGGAUAAAAGUUACUCUAGGAUAACAGGCUGAUCUCCCCCAAGAGUUCACAUCGACGGGGAGGUUUGGCACCUCGAUGUCGGCUCAUCGCAACCUGGGGCGGAAGUACGUCCCAAGGGUUGGGCUGUUCGCCCAUUAAAGCGGUACGUGAGCUGGGUUCAGAACGUCGUGAGACAGUUCGGUCCAUAUCCGAUGUAGGCGUGAGAAUAUUGAGAGGAGCCUUCCUUAGUACGAGAGGACCGGGAAGGACGCACCGCUGGUGUACCUGUUAUGAUGCCAAUUGUAAACGCAGGGUAGCCAAGUGCGGAGAGGAUAACCGCUGAAAGCAUCUAAGUGGGAAGCCCACCUCAAGAUGAGUAUUCUGGUGUAAGGUCACGGGAAGACGACCCGUAAAUAGGCACGAGGUGGAAGUGCAGAGAUGUAUGAAGCCGAAGUGUACUAAUAGACCGUCGGCUUGAUC
RNAcentral lists this ribosomal RNA (1325 nucleotides) under metagenome. RNAcentral describes it as "bacterial LSU rRNA". It matches the Rfam family "Bacterial large subunit ribosomal RNA", at positions 1561 to 2925 of the family's 2925-position model. The record is from RNAcentral.